Long non-coding RNA from Poeciliopsis prolifica (blackstripe livebearer), 296 nucleotides. RefSeq lists it as uncharacterized. The transcript is spliced from 3 exons. NCBI's taxonomy places the organism in Eukaryota, Metazoa, Chordata, Actinopteri, Cyprinodontiformes, Poeciliidae. The record is from RefSeq and is a predicted model, not a curated record.
AGGAAUUCAUCCAUUUGAAGAGUUAGACGUCGGAUAGAUUACUUCAAAAAAUUCAAGAAAUUGAACUGAGCUUCAGUUUUUCGAUCAUGCUUAGAAGAAGUGAACGUUUGAGAAACAACGGAUACUAUGAUAUGGAUGGACAACCUGUUAUUUCAUACAGGGAGGCGCCAAUCAGGGCCAUAAGGAGGCGCUUAACAGGUCGUCCUGAAAACCACCCUGCAGUCACAUUUAGAGAGAGGUCACAUUAUUCUGGUGACAAUGUGAUUGACAGAGAAAGACAGAUGAUGAUGACUCUG